CAUGUCUUUUUGUAUAAUGAUUUAAAGUCUGCUCUGCCCAAUGAAUGUUUUAAAUGGCUGCAGUAUAUUGACUGUACAAAGGUAGCAUAAUAAUUAGUCUUUUUAUUGAAGGCUUGAAUGAAUGAGUUGAUGAAAUAUUUACUGUCUCUAUUUUAAAUUGUUAAUUUAAAUUUUAAGUAAAAAUGCUUAGAUUUUUAUAUGGGACGAGAAGACCCUAUAGAAUUUUAUAGAUUAAUUGAGUUUUUUAUAUUUAAUUAAUCUAUUUUGUUGGGAGGAUAUUUAAAUUUAUUUAACUUUAAAAUAUUAGAUCAAUUAUUUUUGUUUAUAAAAGAUAGUUUAUUAAAAAUUUUUAGAUUUAAUUACCUUAGGGAUAACAGCGUAAUAUCUUUGGAGAGAUCAUAUUUAUAAAGAUGAUUACGACCUCGAUGUUGAAUUAAGGUAUAAUUUAAAUGCAGGAGUUUAAAUUUUAAGUCUGUUCGACUUUUAA
RNAcentral lists this ribosomal RNA (487 nucleotides) under Andrena decipiens. RNAcentral's name for it is "partial 16S ribosomal RNA". The stretch from base 370 to 487 matches the Rfam family "Bacterial large subunit ribosomal RNA", at positions 2473 to 2591 of the family's 2925-position model. Lineage: Eukaryota; Metazoa; Arthropoda; Insecta; Hymenoptera; Andrenidae. The record is from RNAcentral.